RNAcentral lists this ribosomal RNA (253 nucleotides) under uncultured bacterium. Its description in RNAcentral is "partial 16S ribosomal RNA". It matches the Rfam family "Bacterial small subunit ribosomal RNA", at positions 524 to 776 of the family's 1533-position model. The record is from RNAcentral.
UACGGAGGGUGCAAGCGUUGUCCGGAUUUACUGGGCGUAAAGGGCGUGUAGGCGGGACUGUAAGUCGUAGGUGAAAUGUGUAGGCUCAACCUGCACACUGCCUUCGAUACUGCGGUUCUUGAAUGCAGGAGAGGAUAGUGGAAUUCUCGGUGUAGCGGUGGAAUGCGCAGAUAUCGAGAGGAACACCCGUGGCGAAAGCGGCUAUCUGGCCUGACAUUGACGCUGAGGCGCGAAAGCGUGGGGAGCAAACAGG